RNAcentral lists this ribosomal RNA (106 nucleotides) under Bidyanus bidyanus (Bidyan perch). Its description in RNAcentral is "partial 16S ribosomal RNA". Lineage: Eukaryota; Metazoa; Chordata; Actinopteri; Centrarchiformes; Terapontidae. The record is from RNAcentral.
AGCCCAUCAGCUAGCCCCAAACUCAUAAACCAAAAACAACCAACCAAUAUACAUAACCCCAAAAAUACUAAUCCUAAAAUAAAACAAACCAUUUUUCCCCCUUAGU